RNAcentral lists this ribosomal RNA (207 nucleotides) under uncultured bacterium. RNAcentral's name for it is "partial 16S ribosomal RNA". It matches the Rfam family "Bacterial small subunit ribosomal RNA", at positions 568 to 774 of the family's 1533-position model. The record is from RNAcentral.
CACGCAGGCGGCCUGGUAAGUCAGAUGUGAAAGCCCGGGGCUUAACCCCGGAAGUGCAUUUGAUACUAUUAGGCUUGAGUAUGGGAGAGGGAAGUGGAAUUCCUGGUGUAGAGGUGAAAUUCGUAGAUAUCAGGAGGAACACCGGUGGCGAAGGCGACUUCCUGGACCAAUACUGACGCUGAGGUGCGAAGGCGUGGGGAGCAAACA